This 240-nucleotide unclassified non-coding RNA is filed under the name Cosmospora sp. RNAcentral's name for it is "partial contains 5.8S ribosomal RNA, internal transcribed spacer 2, and large subunit ribosomal RNA". The stretch from base 1 to 52 matches the Rfam family "5.8S ribosomal RNA", at positions 103 to 154 of the family's 154-position model. The record is from RNAcentral. RNAcentral also lists the same sequence under 3 other names. Lineage: Eukaryota; Fungi; Ascomycota; Sordariomycetes; Hypocreales; Nectriaceae.
AACGCACAUUGCGCCCUGUGGUAUUCCGCAGGGCAUGCCUGUUCGAGCGUCAGUACAACACUCAAGCUUGGCUUGGUAUUGAACCACGUCCGCAAGGACCGGUUUUAAAAUCAGUGGCGGCGCCAUCUGGCUCUAAGCGUAGUAAUACUCCUCGCUUUUGGGUCCUGAUGGAUGUUGGCCAGCAACCCCCAACUUUCUAAGUUUGACCUCGGAUCAGGUAGGGAUACCCGCUGAACUUAA